Molecule: non-coding RNA, 148 nt
Filed under: Nomascus leucogenys (northern white-cheeked gibbon)
Lineage: Eukaryota; Metazoa; Chordata; Mammalia; Primates; Hylobatidae
Source: Rfam by way of RNAcentral
GCUGGGCAUAAUGGCCCAUGCCUGUAGUCCUAGCUACUUGGGAGGCUGAGGUGGGAGGAUUGCUUGAGCCCAGGAGUUUGAGGCUGCAGUGGACUAUGAUCAUGCCACUGCAUUCCAGCCUGGGUGACAGAGUGAGACCCUGACUCUU